Molecule: long non-coding RNA, 2976 nt
Organism: Syngnathus acus (greater pipefish)
Lineage: Eukaryota; Metazoa; Chordata; Actinopteri; Syngnathiformes; Syngnathidae
Exons: 2
Source: RefSeq, a predicted model, not a curated record
AAGAACAGGAAAAAUGCUGAAAAACUAAACAUAGACUGCAACAGGUGCUUAUCUUGAACCCAAGUUUAAUAAGCAAGCAUGUAUAAUGCGAAGCCCCACCUGCCAAAAAUUAAAGACAAAAACACAAUCCCACCAUUAGGCUGAAAAAGAAAAAAAAAAUGUUUUAACAUGUUUCCGUUUAGUUUACUCACAAAAAGAUGCUCGUUUCAUAUUCCUUCCCUUGUGGCCUCCCCUCGCACUUUUCCUAUCCUUGCCCACACAUUAUCAUUUUUAGAGAACAUGCUCAUAACCACCCACAUAUUGUACUGACAAAACUUUAUUAUCCCUAACGCCAAGUUUGUUUAUCCUUUUCAAUUUCCAGCUGGCUCACACAUCCAUAUCUACAGAGAAACAUCAAAAAAGUUUGGGAGAUUUUUAUCAUGAUGCUAUAUCAUAAUCAGGUCAUUCCUUGGUACAAUUUCUUUAAAGGUGUCACACACACGCUAAAAUGACCAAAGUGGAACUAAAGGUGAUUUCAUAAUUUAUCUCAGAAGCAUAUGCAUAUAGAAACCAUGAAAGAAACCUCUUUAACCUUUGCAGGCCACUGACACACACAAUUAGUGCAAGUCACAUUUUAAUCAUGUAACCCGCAUUUGAUCCCGUGUCAAUUCAUGUGUCAGCAGUUACAGUAUAACAUCAUUUGGGAAUAAAGGGCAGCAAAUGUAGAGCACAACGUCCACCAGUUAUUCUACGGUUAAAAGUGGUACUUGAAUUUUUUUUUUUUUUUUUUUUUUUUUGUCGUGCAAAAUGUUCCCCCUUAGACCAAAGCAAGCAACGGUCCAACUAUUGGAUGGCUCUAAAUGUUUAUCAUAAUUUUCCUACCAAUUGCAGGCUUAAAAUAAAAUAUAUUCUCAUGAGUAUGUGCUUUAACUUGGCCCAUUUACUCUAUUUUGGCCCACCUUACUCCAACGUUUCGACCACAAAUAUGACAUUCUGGGGAUUUUUUAGCACUAUCCUGAGGUAUCAAUUAUGUGCCACUGCAGUGGCUAUAAAUUUAAUCUUACCACCCACACCAAAAGAAACUUUGUUUGUUAUUGCGCAUGUUCAAAUAUAUGGGGGAUAACAUACACCCUCUGUUUCAUUGUCAACACAUUCAUGAUGCCCAUAUUUCACAAAUUAGUUAAAUUCUUUGAGUCUAGGGGCUUGUCGCUGCCUUGCUCUACAGUAAUUCUACAAGGCAAAGUCUGUUUUGAAAUGAGUGUAUUUUUACGUUUUUCAUUCGAGAGCCUCAAUGAUAUCAUUUUGCAUGUUGUUUUACUUGAUUUGCUCUCAGCGGGUUGAUUGUUCACUUGAGUUCUUUUCCAGUAGCCAACAUCUCCCACUAUAGUAUAGUAGCUCCCCUCCUGGGGAGCAAAGUACAGCAGAAAUAAUGAAAUAUCAAUAGGAGUCUCUCAGAUAUCUUUCAGCGGGCAUCCUCUCUGCCAGUAGAAGAACACUCAUGGGGUGGAGAGGUAUUUUUAGCAAAAAAUAUUUAUCCCCUCCUGUCGUCCUCCCUCUUCUGCAUCCUUGUCCCUGUCUUUUGCAUUAAUUUCCCCUCCCUCUCUUAGGUCUCCAUCUCAGCUGGAUAUAGCAGACGUCCUUUUCAUUCGACACACCAGUGUAAUUCGUUCUCUCUAUAAUCAUCCAUUUUCCAAUUUUCAUGCCCUCUCCCCGAACUUGACACACGCAUUGUGGAUUCUAUUUCACAGCAGUACACCGGAGCACACUGGUUUCCAUUUCAUUUGUUCAGUAUUUGUUUAGAAAUCCCAUGGUCGUCUGCCGGAAAGCAGUAACGCUUAAUAGAAGCUUCUCUGGCUGAACCAUGUUUAAGAAGUAUUUGAAUGUGCAAUUUUAUAGCAAGGUUCUGAAUCAAAGGAAAAUUCUUAUUAAUACUCUAAAUUGCUCUCUGUUCGCAAGUACCAACAGCGGAAACUCACAUUUAAACACGAUCAAUUCUGUGACAUUGGCAGUCUGUGAGGCUGGUGGUGACUCAACAUUAACAUGAACCACAAAGAUGAAAGAAACAAGAGGUAAAUUAAUCACGUCAAAAAGGGUUGUCUGCUUUCCGCUCUGAGAAAAAUCAUAUCUUUUUCUAAAGAUGCAUCAUAAACGUGACUAAGAGAGACAUUUGAAUCAGACCUUGUGUUGGUAUUAAAUUCCAAAGGGAAGGUUUAGUGUUGGGAGCUCCAGGCCACCCUUUGCAGGGGGCGGAGUCAAUGUGGCAAGGGCACCAAACACAUUUAGGGUGCAUCGGUGCCAUUUAUCAUGUUUGACAAGUGUACCUCUCAGUGCCAUUUGGCUUUAUUACAGGUACAUUUCUCCCUCACAUAAUGAUGUUUUCCUUCUCUCUUGUCCUCUGAGGCCAUGAAAACCUGCAGUGGAAAAAUCAAGGUGGUUUAUUUUUCUCCUGCAAAGUUUUUUUUUUUUAAAUCAUCAUUGAGGAUUUAAUAAAUGAAUAAUGUGAAGGAUCGAAUAUAAAAACAAACCAUUUACAGUAUGAUAGCACAUUUCGAACCCACAUAUGAGUGACAACAAGCCCAUUCUCUCAAACAUUAGUCCUCACUUGAAACAGAUCAAGUGAAAGAAUUGCAUUGUGAUUGUGUCUGUGAUGUGUUUGAAGGCAUUUUGAUCACUGCUUGACUUGACUUCUUGCAGAAGAUAGUGUGACCCCAAUGACAGAAUUGGCUGCGAACAAAUAUUAACCCUGCAGGAAGGCUCCAAUUAUCACACCAUUCCCAGUUGUCUUGCGUGUGAGUGUCAUGCAGCUGGUCAUCAUCUUUGUUUUGAUCAAGAUGAUGAGUUGCUUGAUUGCUUUGUGAAAUACUCGGUGUUAGAUGAAAUUCAUUUUCUGCAUCUGGGAUUCAUCAUGAUGCAUGAAUCAAUAUUUCAUAUCCGGGAAUCAAUGAAUGUGCUUUGUUUUAGUGUGCAGUCAAGCAAUAAAGUACCACAAUGCAGGCA